RNAcentral lists this ribosomal RNA (377 nucleotides) under uncultured delta proteobacterium. RNAcentral's name for it is "bacterial SSU rRNA". It matches the Rfam family "Bacterial small subunit ribosomal RNA", at positions 521 to 896 of the family's 1533-position model. Lineage: Bacteria; Deltaproteobacteria. The record is from RNAcentral.
UAAUACGGGGGGUGCAAGCGUUGUUCGGAAUUAUUGGGCGUAAAGAGCGUGUAGGUGGUCUGUUAUGUCAGAUGUGAAAGUCCACGGCUCAACCGUGGAAGUGCAUUUGAAACUGGCAGUCUUGAAUCUCGGAGAGGGUGGCGGAAUUCCCAGUGUAGAGGUGAAAUUCGUAGAUAUUGGGAGGAACACCAGCGGCGAAGGCGGCCACCUGGACGAUGAUUGACGCUGAGGCGCGAAAGCAUGGGUAGCAAACAGGAUUAGAUACCCUGGUAGUCCAUGCCGUAAACGAUGGGUACUAGUUGGUGCGGGUAUUAACCCCUGCGCUGACGAAGCUAACGCAUUAAGUACCCCGCCUGGGGAGUACGGCCGCAAGGCUA